Non-coding RNA from Erwinia tracheiphila, 107 nucleotides. NCBI's taxonomy places the organism in Bacteria, Pseudomonadati, Pseudomonadota, Gammaproteobacteria, Enterobacterales, Erwiniaceae. The record is from Rfam.
AGUAUUUGGUAUCUGCGCUCCACUAAAGCCAGUUACCUUCGGAUUUUAGAGUUGGUAGCUCUGAAACCCGGCAAACGAACCACCGUUGGUAGCGGUGGUUUUUUUGU